AUUGCCCCAGUAACGGCGAGUGAAGCGGCAACAGCUCAAAUUUGAAAUCUGGCCCUCGGGUCCGAGUUGUAAUUUGUAGAGGAUGCUUUUGGCGAGGUGCCUUCCGAGUUCCCUGGAACGGGACGCCAUAGAGGGUGAGAGCCCCGUCUGGUCGGACACCGAGCCUCUGUAAAGCUCCUUCGACGAGUCGAGUAGUUUGGGAAUGCUGCUCAAAAUGGGAGGUAUAUGUCUUCUAAAGCUAAAUAUUGGCCAGAGACCGAUAGCGCACAAGUAGAGUGAUCGAAAGAUGAAAAGCACUUUGAAAAGAGGGUUAAAAAGUACGUGAAAUUGUUGAAAGGGAAGCGCCUAUGACCAGACUUGAGCCCGGUGAAUCAUCCAGCGUUCUCGCUGGUGCACUUUGCCGGGCCCAGGCCAGCAUCAGUUUGGCGCGGGGGAUAAAGGUGACGGGAAUGUGGCUCCCUCGGGAGUGUUAUAGCCCGCUACGUAAUACCCUGCGCCGGACUGAGGUACGCGCAUUGCAAGGAUGCUGGCGUAAUGGUCAUCAGCGACCCGUCUUGAAACACGGACCAAGGAGUCGUCUUCGUAUGCGAGUGUUCGGGUGUCAAACCCCUACGCGUAAUGAAAGUGAACGCAGGUGAGAGCUUCGGCGCAUCAUCGACCGAUCCUGAUGUUCUCGGAUGGAUUUGAGUAAGAGCAUACGGGGCCGGACCCGAAAGAAGGUGAACUAUGCCUGUAUAGGGUGAAGCCAGAGGAAACUCUGGUGGAGGCUCGCAGCGGUUCUGACGUGCGAAUCGAUCGUCAAAUAUGGGCAUGGGGGCGAAAGACUAAU
This 829-nucleotide ribosomal RNA is filed under the name Cordyceps javanica. RNAcentral describes it as "partial large subunit ribosomal RNA". It matches the Rfam family "Eukaryotic large subunit ribosomal RNA", at positions 74 to 935 of the family's 3401-position model. Lineage: Eukaryota; Fungi; Ascomycota; Sordariomycetes; Hypocreales; Cordycipitaceae. The record is from RNAcentral.